GCUGAGGUAGUUUAAGUUUUAAAAUUAGAUGUUAGGGGCGUUUAGAUUUUUUUCAGUU
This 58-nucleotide transfer RNA is filed under the name Onchocerca flexuosa. Its description in RNAcentral is "tRNA-Pro". Lineage: Eukaryota; Metazoa; Nematoda; Chromadorea; Rhabditida; Onchocercidae. The record is from RNAcentral.